Homo sapiens (human) is the source of this 2059-nucleotide long non-coding RNA. The record is from Ensembl. NCBI's taxonomy places the organism in Eukaryota, Metazoa, Chordata, Mammalia, Primates, Hominidae.
AGUUUAAAACUUGAAGGAGAAAAAGAGGUUUCUAAAAAUCAAACUGCUGUGGAAACUGCUUUACCCAAAGCUUUGGUCCACAGCCUUCAUAAGAUCACCUAUCAGGGCAAAUAAAAUUUAGCCAUGUGAACAGGUCCCAUUUUGUCAGAAAUAUAAUUUGGAUUCAACUGUCCUUUUAUAAACUGAUCUGAUCAGAACCUGAAUUCUCCUAAUUUUCUUCAAUAUUUGGCUGCAACUCUCCAACUAAGAGCAAAAACUGCUCUGUGCUUGCCGCCUUAGAAGAUGAAGCUAGACAACUUGAUAUAAAUUUCAAGAGACAAGUCUCAUACCCGAAAAAAGAAGGACAAGUCUUGUGCCACACAGAAAGUUCACCAAUCCACCUGAUACCAUAGCAGAGAAUUCAAACUGCAAGCCAAGAGAAGUUGAUGGCUUCAUGCUAUAGGCAGCGUUUCCCAAGACACUCCAUCAAAAUGAGACUCUUGCCCCUCUUAAUUUUUCCUUUCUUAUGCUUACCUUUUUCUUUGGCAAGAUAAUGAUGUAAUUCAGAUUUCACAAUCAGCAGCUUCUGCUCAUAACUUAAAAGAACAUGACCUCUUAGGUAUCUAUUGUUUAAAUAAAAAAAAGUCUACGCUUCCACUAAUACUACAUGUUAUACUUGGGUAAAUUCCUCUGGGGAAGUUGAGGCCCAUAUCCACAGAAUUUUUUAAAUGGGUCACACAGUAACAACAGAUGUCAUCUAAUUCUCAAUGGUCAUUUGCUUUAUUCAAUUGUUUGUCUUUAAGACUGGAUUCAUGGCUCAAAACCAUUAUACAAACUUGGAUUUACCAUAUUACUAUUAAUUUUAUUUUAUAUUUUUGUUUUUAAAACUUGUACCUGUUGCUUGUUAAAUUUCUGCAGAAGUACAACUCCUAACAGAAUAAUGCUGGCCCAGUGCUUUGAGAUUGUGGCCAAAAUACUAUGGAAUAGACAAAACUGAACAUAGCAAUAAAUUCCAGGUAGACUUAGCCUGAGAGCCAUUUCCUCCAAGCCUCCCUUGUUGCUCAAAUGUGGCUAGAACGCUUUUGACACAGAUUCCUACUCACCAAUCACGUCUUCUGAUAUGGGACCAGACCAACAAUCUGGGACACAUCCUGGCACCAAGGGACAAUGAAAAUCUAACUACAGGAUGAUUGAAUGGUGAUACUUUCAGAAAAAGAUCUUGAUCAAAAGGGGGGAAAUGUGAAAGUUAUCAGAAUCAAAAUAGAGUCACUUGUGUCAACAAGAAAAAAACAAAACCAAAAACAGCUGAAAAACAGUGCUUGGGAAGGCCAUAAAGGGAGGAUUCUCACGCACAAGUUCUUGAUAACAAAACUACCACAAAAAAUUCUGCAAAAACUACAACUUCACACAAAGGCCAUCACAACCUUACACAGAAAACACUUCUUUGAGGACAUCUGCCCAGCAAUUGCCUUUCCAAACUUGGACUGACACCACCUUUGUUACUUAUCCUUGUAGCCAAGGAUAAUUAUCUCAAAACUAUUAUGUAAUCCUCCUCAUUUUUUUCUUACAAGACCUUUGUCUUCCUUUACCUCCCUGAAUACACACAUAGUUUACAAUGGCACCCAUAUUCCUAUUGCAAUGCCCAUUUCUGAAUAAAUAUCAUUUUCUGUUAGAGAAUUUCCCUCUCUGUUAUUUAGAAUGACACAAUUUGCUAGGAUCAAAUAUUCUUUUAAACCAAGAGAUAGCACUCUUGAUUUAAAAGAGUGACAUAGGGUUAUAUUUUUAAAGAAGUCAAAUAUGCUUCUAGUGCUUUUGGGCGUUGGCUCCUAAUUGUUCUCUACCCACUUCCUUCCUAAACUGCUUAGAAUCCUCAGCUCAUUACCACUUAUACUCUGCCAAUGCUUUGCUCUCUGCCUUUCUGAACCACAUAUUUGCUAAAAUUCCAUCACUGUGUGAACCAAAUUACUGACCUUCUCUGUGUCCUGCUAGAAUUCCACAACACUCAGUAUAGCGCCUAUAAGAGUGUCUGGCACCUAAGGCCACCCAAUAAACAUUUGCUAAAGGAAUGAAAAAAAUGAAA